This 253-nucleotide ribosomal RNA is filed under the name uncultured bacterium. RNAcentral describes it as "partial 16S ribosomal RNA". It matches the Rfam family "Bacterial small subunit ribosomal RNA", at positions 524 to 776 of the family's 1533-position model. The record is from RNAcentral.
UACGUAGGGUGCGAGCGUUGCCCGGAUUUAUUGGGCGUAAAGGGCGCGUAGGCGGCUCGGCACGUCCGUUGUGAAAUCGCCCGGCUCAACUGGGCGGGGUCAGCGGAUACGGUCGAGCUCGAGCAAGCUAGGGGGCAAUGGAAUUCCCGGUGUAGUGGUGGAAUGCGUAGAUAUCGGGAAGAACAUCAGUGGCGAAGGCGGCCUGCUGGGCUGUUGCUGACGCUGAGGCGCGACAGCGUGGGGAGCAAACAGG